AAGACUAUAGACCUGCGGAGUACCUGCGGAAGGAUCAUUACCGAGUUUACAACUCCCAAACCCCAAUGUGAACAUUACCUUUACUGUUGCUUCGGCGGGAUCGCCCCGGGCGCGGCCGAGAGGCCCAGCCCCGGAUCCAACGUGCGCCCGCCGGAGGACCCCAGACUCCAUGUUUCUUGCAAGGUAUUUCUGAGCUGCUCCUAGCGAGCAAAACAAAAAAUGAAUCAAAACUUUCAACAA
Molecule: unclassified non-coding RNA, 240 nt
Filed under: soil metagenome
Description: partial contains 5.8S ribosomal RNA, internal transcribed spacer 2, and large subunit ribosomal RNA
Source: RNAcentral